Molecule: ribosomal RNA, 495 nt
Filed under: uncultured bacterium
Lineage: Bacteria
Description: partial 16S ribosomal RNA
Rfam family: Bacterial small subunit ribosomal RNA
Source: RNAcentral
GAUGAACGCUGGCGGCGUGCCUAAUACAUGCAAGUAGAACGCUGAAGGAGGAGCUUGCUCUUCUGGAUGAGUUGCGAACGGGUGAGUAACGCGUAGGUAACCUGCUUGGUAGCGGGGGAUAACUAUUGGAAACGAUAGCUAAUACCGCAUGACAACAGUUAUUGCAUGAUAACUGUUUAAAAGGGGCAACUGCUCCACUACCAGAUGGACCUGCGUUGUAUUAGCUAGUUGGUGAGGUAACGGCUCACCAAGGCGACGAUACAUAGCCGACCUGAGAGGGUGAUCGGCCACACUGGGACUGAGACACGGCCCAGACUCCUACGGGAGGCAGCAGUAGGGAAUCUUCGGCAAUGGACGGAAGUCUGACCGAGCAACGCCGCGUGAGUGAAGAAGGUUUUCGGAUCGUAAAGCUCUGUUGUAAGAGAAGAACGAGUGUGAGAGUGGAAAGUUCACACUGUGACGGUAUCUGACCAGAAAGGGACGGCUAACUACGUG